RNAcentral lists this ribosomal RNA (429 nucleotides) under Acidobacteriota bacterium. RNAcentral describes it as "Acidobacteria bacterium partial 16S ribosomal RNA". It matches the Rfam family "Bacterial small subunit ribosomal RNA", at positions 355 to 776 of the family's 1533-position model. Lineage: Bacteria; Pseudomonadati; Acidobacteriota. The record is from RNAcentral.
UAGGGAAUCUUCCGCAAUGGACGAAAGUCUGACGGAGCAACGCCGCGUGAGCGAUGAAGGUUUUCGGAUCGUAAAACUCUGUUGUUAGGGAAGAACAAGUUGGGUAGUAACUGACCCAACCUUGACGGUAUCUAACCAGAAAGCUACGGCUAACUACGUGCCAGCAGUCGCGGUAAUACGUAGGUGGCAAGCGUUGUCCGGAAUUAUUGGGCGUAAAGCGCUCGCAGGCGGUCUUUUAAGUCUGAUGUGAAAGCCCACGGCUUAACCGUGGAGGGUCAUUGGAAACUGGAGGACUUGAGUACAGAAGAGGAGAGUGGAAUUCCACGUGUAGCGGUGAAAUGCGUAGAGAUGUGGAGGAACACCAGUGGCGAAGGCGACUCUCUGGUCUGUAACUGACGCUGAGGAGCGAAAGCGUGGGUAGCGAACAGG